GAUGAAGAACGUAGCGAAAUGCGAUAAGUAGUGUGAAUUGCAGAAUUCAGUGAAUCAUCGAAUCUUUGAACGCACAUUGCGCCCCUUGGUAUUCCAUGGGGCAUGCCUGUUCGGGCGUCAUUUGUACCUUCAAGCUCUGCUUGGUGUUGGGUGUUUGUCUCGCCUCUGCGUGUAGACUCGCCUCAAAACAAUUGGCAGCCGGCGUAUUGAUUUCGGAGCGCAGUACAUCUCGCGCUUUGCACUCAUAACGACGACGUCCAAAAGUACAUUUUUACACUCUUGACCUCGGAUCAGGUAGGGAUACCCGCUGAACUUAAGCAUAUCAAUAAGCGGAGGA
This 337-nucleotide unclassified non-coding RNA is filed under the name soil metagenome. Its description in RNAcentral is "partial contains 5.8S ribosomal RNA, internal transcribed spacer 2, and large subunit ribosomal RNA". The stretch from base 1 to 120 matches the Rfam family "5.8S ribosomal RNA", at positions 35 to 154 of the family's 154-position model. The record is from RNAcentral.